RNAcentral lists this non-coding RNA (91 nucleotides) under Planctomycetota bacterium. Its description in RNAcentral is "Planctomycetes bacterium Glycine sequence". It matches the Rfam family "Glycine riboswitch aptamer". Rfam says of the family: This family represents the bacterial glycine riboswitch. Glycine riboswitches usually consist of two metabolite-binding aptamers domains with similar structures in tandem. The aptamers cooperatively bind glycine to regulate the expression of downstream genes. Lineage: Bacteria; Pseudomonadati; Planctomycetota. The record is from RNAcentral.
UUGAUGGCCGAAAGAGAUUCCUUGAAUGGAAGCCGAAGGUGUAAUCGAUGAAAAUCGAGAAGCUCUCAGGCAAAAGGAUUUCGGUUCUGAU